Long non-coding RNA from Alosa sapidissima (American shad), 1083 nucleotides. RefSeq lists it as uncharacterized. The record is from RefSeq and is a predicted model, not a curated record. Lineage: Eukaryota; Metazoa; Chordata; Actinopteri; Clupeiformes; Clupeidae. The transcript is spliced from 2 exons.
GAGCGAGAAUAGGCCUGUUUUCACAAAAUUAGGGUUGAGGGGUUCCAUAUCGAAUGACACCAGCAGGUGGCGGUAACUGGACCGCCAACUGUCGUUAGAUUUGACGAAGAAGACAGAUAAACCAAGCUAAACAGCUAAACUAUGAGCUAAACGCAGACAGUCAAGCAAACUAUUAUAUUGUAUCGCAUUAUACGCGGAGGUAGCAGCAUCUGCUUGUGCCAAGAAGCUGAAGCUGAGAAGAGUGACAGUCAUGUACAGCGUCAGUCAGCGGAAUGUGGACCGAGUGUACACCUUUUUGCUGGCAGUUUGUGUAUUGCUGGCCUGGGGCUUUGUGAUCUACGGUUGCAGGGAAGCGGCUCUGGAAAGUCUCACUGCUGUGGGUGGAACCUGAAGCCCCAGAGACCUCUGGGAAAUUGAGUUGCAGGGACAAUGUCAUCACAAGCACACACAGACAAUCUGACGCAGCACAAGAAGGAAGUCUUCUGGACACUGUAUGAGCUGCCAAAUGACCAACAGGUGUGUGUUCUGUGCAUGCACAACAGUACAUUCACUCAUUUGCCAAGGUGGAGGGACGUUGAUCCAGUGUGCCCUCAUGAACAGAUGAGACUGGUGCAGUUAUGUUUUGAAACAUUAUCAUCUAAUUUAUUAAAGAUCUGAUUUUUGUUUUUACUGAAAAUGUGUCAAUCCCUUUUAGAAUAAAUCUUGGUGCCACACCCCAUCAUGUAGGAUAUAGAUCACCUAUAGACACCAGACAAAACAAGAAGAGCGCAGCUUACAUCAACCUCAACAUUUUCAUUUUACUUUGUACAAAUUGCUGCAGAUCCCAGGGACGAUUGGGAUUAAAUCAGCAAAUAGAGGGAUAAAGCUGCCAAAUCUAUCCCAGAAACGCUGUCUGACUCAGUAAUAUUGCCACAUCUGCUGAACAACAAAACGGUCUGCAGUUUAUUUGUCCACUGCAGUUUUUCUGAGAAGUCAGUCAUGAAUGUUCUCUCUCUGGGCAUUCUACUGGCUGUUACUGCUCUCUGGCAUUUUUAACGCAACAUCAUGUUGUUCUUUUAUCUUUAAAUAAAGGCUUCAAACUCA